Non-coding RNA from Sitophilus oryzae (rice weevil), 786 nucleotides. NCBI's taxonomy places the organism in Eukaryota, Metazoa, Arthropoda, Insecta, Coleoptera, Curculionidae. The record is from the annotation of a RefSeq genome assembly.
UUUGGUAAAAAAUUUUAUUUAGGUUUGAAAUUUUAGUAAUUGAUUAUAUUAUAUGCUAAUUUAAGUAUUAAAAAAAAUUAAUUUUAAAUAAGUUAAUUAUUUUAUCUAGCAAUAAAUAAGAUUAAAAAUUUAGGAAACUAAGAUUUAGUAAUUAAAUUUAGUAUUGGUCAAAUUUGUGCCAGCAAUCGCGGUUAAACAGAUAAUGCAACUAAAAUUUUAUUGGUUUUAAUUAAUAUUAUUAAUUUAGAUUUAAAGUUUGAUUUAUUAAGUAGAAUUUUUAAAUUAAUAUAAAUCUGUGAUUAGUUUUUAAAAUUAAGAAAUUCAAAUUUUAGACUAGGAUUAGAUACCCUAUUAUUUUGAGUGUUAAAAUUAGAAUGCUUUAUUAGUAGUAGUUAUGUUCUUGAAAAUAAAUAGAUUUGGCGGUUCUUUAGUCCAUUCAGAGGAACCUGUCCUAUAAUUGAUAUACCACGAUUUAAUGUACUUAUUUUAAUUAGUUUAUAUAUCGCCGUUUUAGAAUUUUUUGAAAGAAUUUUAAUAUUUAAGAUUUUAUUUGUAAAAGUAGUUCAGGUCAAGAUGUAGUUUAUAGGUAAGGAGAGAUGGGUUACUUUAAUUUUAUUUAUUGAGCUGUUAUUUUAAAAAUAAUAGUAAAUUGGAUUUGAGGGUAAUAUUAAUUAGUUUAUUAAGAUGAUUUAGGCUCUAGAGUAUGUACAUAUCGCCCGUCACUUUCACUCUAAAGUGGAAUAAGUCGUAACAUAGUAGGUGUACUGGAAAGUGUACCUGGAAUGG